Molecule: microRNA, 22 nt
Filed under: Fasciola hepatica (liver fluke)
Lineage: Eukaryota; Metazoa; Platyhelminthes; Trematoda; Plagiorchiida; Fasciolidae
Description: fhe-miR-11586
Source: miRBase by way of RNAcentral
UGUAAGACGAUCGUAGUUGACG